RNAcentral lists this ribosomal RNA (498 nucleotides) under Triticum aestivum (bread wheat). RNAcentral describes it as "partial small subunit ribosomal RNA". Lineage: Eukaryota; Viridiplantae; Streptophyta; Magnoliopsida; Poales; Poaceae. The record is from RNAcentral.
GUCGGAUAUCCGACCGCCGACAUCCAGCACAGGCUUCCUGCUCCAGGGCAGGUCAUCCCUACACCGAAACCCAAUGAGAGUGUCGUGUUUGUUCCUCACUUCCUCCGCGGCUUGGGCCUCACCCUUGAUCCCUUUGUGAGGGGGCUCAUGUUCUACUACGGGUUGGAUUUUCAUGAUCUAGCUCCGGACGCUAUCCUCCAUAUCUCGUCGUUCAUCAUUGUGUGCGAGUCUUUUCUCCACGUCACUCCACACUUUGGCUUAUGGCUCAAGACCUUCAAUGUGAGGCCGAAGAUGAUCGAGGGGCGACAUGCGGAGUGCGGAGGUGCCAUAAUAAGCAGGAACGCCGAUGCCCCAUGGCCAGAGGGUUCUUUCCCAGAAGUAUCUAAUGUAUGGCAACGGAGGUGGUUUUAUGUCACGGCCCCCAGAGGCACAAAGUGGGUGGCGGCCCCGAGUUCCGCUCGGGCCCUCCGUCACAAUUGGAGUCAUGGACCGACGUAG